UUUUCCUGUCCGUUAUUUAUUAGUUAUCAUCAUACACGUCGAAUAUUUAUCCGCAACUAAGCUAACGGCGGAUUUUAUCCGUUAUUAAAACUAACAACGAAUUUUCUCCUCCGUUAAAACUAACAGCGGAUAAAAUUUGCCGAUAGUCUUUUCGUCCUAACGAUGAACGCAGAAACCCAGCUAAGUUUUUGCGUUCAUAAUUCGUCUUUCUUCGUUCAUCGUUCAUCGUUCAUCGUUUUUCGUUUUUCAGUCAUUUUCUUUUUCUUCUUCUUCUUUGAUUCUUCCUCAAUUCUUCGAUUUUUUUUUAUUCCUCGAUUUUUCUUUUCUUCUUUGAUUCUUCUUCUUAUUUUUCUUAUUCUUCAAU
Molecule: long non-coding RNA, 364 nt
Filed under: Linum usitatissimum (flax)
Lineage: Eukaryota; Viridiplantae; Streptophyta; Magnoliopsida; Malpighiales; Linaceae
Description: long non-coding RNA (LUSI_LNC003768)
Source: RNAcentral